AGAACGAACGCUGGCGGCAUGCCUAAUACAUGCAAGUCGAACGAACACUUCGGUGUUAGUGGCGCACGGGUGCGUAACGCGUGGGAAUCUGCCCUUGGGUUCGGAAUAACAGUUGGAAACGACUGCUAAUACCGGAUGAUAUCGAAAGAUCAAAGAUUUAUCGCCCAGGGAUGAGCCCGCGUAGGAUUAGCUAGUUGGUGAGGUAAGGCUCACCGAAGGCGACGAUCCUUAGCUGGUCUGAGAGGAUGAUCACGCCACACGUGGGACUGAGACCGACGGCCCAGACCUCCGUAACGGGAGCAGCGAGGUAGGGAAUAGUUGGACAAGUGGGAC
This 333-nucleotide ribosomal RNA is filed under the name uncultured soil bacterium. RNAcentral's name for it is "bacterial SSU rRNA". It matches the Rfam family "Bacterial small subunit ribosomal RNA", at positions 26 to 379 of the family's 1533-position model. The record is from RNAcentral.